Cyprinus carpio (common carp) is the source of this 1279-nucleotide long non-coding RNA. RefSeq lists it as uncharacterized. The transcript has 4 exons. NCBI's taxonomy places the organism in Eukaryota, Metazoa, Chordata, Actinopteri, Cypriniformes, Cyprinidae. The record is from RefSeq and is a predicted model, not a curated record.
CUCUGUCUUUUUUCUGCGCUCUGAUCUCCUUCUCCUGCGCUGGGCGCUGCUCCGUCUCCGCAUCCAUCGUGGCCUGGAUCAUUUCUCGUGCGCGCUGCUUUAUUUCCGCAUCCAAGUAAUGGUCUUUAUAACGCGGAUAAAGUACAGUCGCGAUUAAGUGCAGAGGAUCCGAAUAGAUCUCAUUGUGAAACGUGUGCUGACAGACUUUAAGAGUGUACUUUUCUUUGUUUUCACUCCGUGGUCCGUCUCAACCUCUUUGCUUAUGAGACGCUUUUGUGCUGCGAUUAACGUCCGCUAUGAUGCAUCAGAGGAGCUGACCUCUUUAGUUAGCUGCUCAAGGGGGGCAAGAAGAGAGAGAAUGUUCUCUAUUAAGACCCACUGUUUUGAAGUGAAUGUCGCGACGCGAGGAGCUCGUGGUCUGCGCUAUGCAGGUGCACGUGCAGGUCGCGGUUUCUGUUUGAGUCAUCACAACAUUUCGGCCGUAUUUUUUCGGUGAUAAAAGUCUUUUGGCCGAAAACCGAAAAUGCACUUUUGGGCCAUUUUCGGCCGAAAAUUUUCGGUGGCCGUAUAUUCGGUGCAUCCCUACCUAGUGGUAAACAAUAAUAGCACGAUGAAUCACAUAUUGGCAGUUGGAGUUUUAAUGUGUGCUGAAAAAAGUAGAAGUGUCAAAAGAGGAAGGAAUAAGAGCCUGAGGUGUCCCACCAACAAAACGGUGUGCCAUGCUCCAUCCUAAUGUCCUCUUUCAAGUGUUUUUGCUGUCGAUGCAUGGGGUAGAAGAUUGUGCCGUAUAGAAGACUGGGAUCCAUGAAAGCACACAGAAGUUCAAACGACAGGUGGGUAGACGGUCUUACCUCUGUGCCUCCUACGAAUCCAUUUGCGGAGCCCUUAAAGACCUCUUUGGAGAGCGGGUUGCUGUGGAUACGGUUAACUCAGUUGACGAAAGUUUGUGAUGACAGCUGCACCCUCCAAUGCCACUGGAAAAAAUCAAGCUUUUGUUUUGUCAGACUAGCUCUAUUUAAAAGGUUGAUUGAAGCAUCAAAUGUAAAAGGGGGUUGAUAUUGCGUAACAUUUAUUAAAAUAAAUUUGAAGGCCAUUCAGUUUAAGUAGCUUAAAAUGUUAGAAAGCAAGAACUUACAAUGACAAGUUUGGUGGUGAGGUUGCACAUCAUGAUGACAAAAAUAUGUUUUAUUCAGAAAUAACAUGUUUUAGCUCUAUAUAGUGUUUUUGAAGGCAAUUUUUUUUUCAACAGCAGUGUUAUAGUAAAAAAAACAACAAUAAA